AAAUAGUGACCCAAGCCAAUUUUCUUCCUUUUCCUUUUUCUUUGAUUUUAAAAAUACUAACUUAAUUAAUUAAAAACCUAAAUUAGGUCCAAAAUCAUAUCUAAUUUGUGAAAUAAACUUAAUUGACUAUUUUUAAUAAUUAAACAAUUAAUCAACUUAAAGCUAAUGAAAUGAAAUUACUAAUUUAAAGUUAAGGCUAAAAUGUAACAUGACCAAUAUAUUUUUUUUUAAUUUUUUUUUAAUGAAUGCAUUUAACUUAAGCAAUUAAAUUCUAAAUGCAAUUAAAGCCUAAAAUGCUAUGUAAUGAUGAUUUGAUAUUUUUGAUAUCUUUAUAUCAUUUUAAAAUAUUAAAUGUGCACAAAAAUGCAAACAAUUAAUUAAGAAAGUCCUACAAAAUUCUAUAAAACUGAAAAUAAUUUAGAAAAAACUAUUUUUUUUAAUUUUUGUAGGAGUAUUUCUAGUCGAGCAAAAAUCACGUGCUCACAGCUGCCUCUCUUUGUUCGGAAACAUGAAGAGUUUUCGGGCAAAGAUAAAAUGAGCAAUUACAAGCGAUUUUUGCCCGUUUAGAUACUCCCUGGGAAGCAUUUGAAAAGUUUGACCGAACCUUGCUUCGGAGGUUGCCUAUAUAUCCUCGGCUUUAAGGAAUCAGGUCAGUGUAGUUUUGGAAGUUUUGGUAGCUGGGACUACCGAAAGGCUGUGAUUUCACUGUUGUUGCUGCUUGGUGAGCUCCUUAUUACGCCAAAGUAAGAAUGAAAAGACUAACUAAACAUAUUAGCUACGAGUUACAAUAUUCCUAUCUACAAAUCUUCUGAAGCUUGAUCUUGAGCCUUGGUUGGUUCUUCAUACAGAUUCUGAUCUUAAUCUUGAUGCUUGCUAGCUACAGGUGCUGGUUCAUUCCUUUAUCAACUUCUUGGAUCAAGGCGAGACAUGCAAAGCUUGUGACUUUAAUCAUGUCUUGAGCAAUCCACAUCUUUUCUCCGCUUCUGCACUUUGAGUCACUUCUUUUUCUUUUAUUCCAGAUUGAGACUUCUUCUUCUGGUCGUCUCGAACCCUGUGUCUUGAGGUAUAACCUAUUCAAACACCAAAACAAAUAAACGAACGAAAUUUUUCUGCCCCAGUUUUCACUAGGAAAGAUUCGUGAGUUAUUUGUAACCAAAACUCUAUACUACUCCAUUAUUGAAAGCAAUAAAGAUCAGGAUUGUGUGUCCAUUGGGAAAAAGAGAUAUGGGAGUGGAAACCCUAUAUCUAAAAUGAAAUGAACCAGGGGUUGGAGACCCUAGGUUGGGAAAUCACUAGGUUAUGCUAGCAUCAACUAGGGAGUGAGACCCUAUGUUGAAAAAGUCAUCGGGUUAUGCUGGCAUCAACUAGGGGGUGUGACCCUAUGUUGGAAAAGUUAUUAGGUUAUGCUGGCAUCAAUUGAGGAGUGAGACCCUAUGUUGAAAAAGUCAUCAGGUUAUGCUGGCAUCAAUUAGGGAGUGAGACCCUAUGUUGGAAAAGUCAUCAGGUUAUGCUGGCAUCAACUAGGGAGUGAGACCCUAUGUUGGAAAAGUCAUAAGGACCACUACGGGAGGUCAAACCAAGGAUCUAUAGAAGUGAGGGCUCGUCCCCGGUCAAUAUUGGAUCAAACAAUAGGGGGUCGUAGCACUGGUUAUGCUGGCAUCAGCUAGGCAGUGGGACCCUAUAUUGGAAAAAAUGUAGCUAGGGAUUGGAGAUCCUAUACUACCAUGAUUUGAACUUUUCUUCUUUUCUUUUUUUUUUCAUUUCACUUUUCAUUUUUUAUUUAAGAGAAUGAGUAAAGAAUUUGGAGGGGACUUCCCUUUUGGGUUGACUAUUUCUGCACAUUUUAGUCUCUGCAUAAUUUGCUUUUGUUGCACCUGCUUCUUGCAAGGUUACUUUGAAUUACACCUGUUUUCCCUAUUUUUCAAACAAAGAACAAUUUGUCAGUUUGAAACUGUGGUUGCUUGCUUUCUGGGGAUUGGUUUCAUUCCUAAACCCGGGGAUCUUGACUUUUCCCAAACUUUAACGUGAUGAUUAACCCAUAUGGGACUUGGCCUUUUUCCACCUUAUUUUGCCUUUAUGGGCAUUUGACUUUGAUUUCCUUUCUUUUCAGGAGUUUUUGACUCCGAAGCAUCAGCCAUCAUGGCCAGUCGAAGUCGACUUGAUGCACCUGCUGAGGCUAGGUGCUUUUCUUGAAUAUUGGCUUUUUGUCAAACAAAAACUUGUAAACCAAUUUUGCCAUCUUUUAUUUGUUUUAAUUCGGAACAGAAUUAGGCCGAAAGAGAUUUAAAGAAAAAUAAACAAUGGACGGGAUAAUGAAUUUAAAUGAGAGGUGUCCCGUUCANNNNNNNNNNNNNNNNNNNNNNNNNACCCAUCAUAGCUCAUACCUCAAAACUGAGAAACCUUGCCCGAACUUUUCGAUACCGAUGGCUGCGAGGAUCCCCUUUUUGAUUAGUGACGCCCUUUGCGGGUUUUCACCAUCUGACCUCUCUCAUUUCUCUUCUCACCAUCGCCUUAUAGUGCUCUUUACGAGUUUUCACUAACAAGACUCUCUCAUUUUUAAUUUCUCUACUUACCGUCGCCCUAUGAUUCCCGUGUAGGUUUUCACCAAUAAACUCUCUCAUUUUACCGACUGAUCGGAAGGACUUGAACAUGAUUUGGAACAAAAAGAAUUUGGAUUGAAUUACGACUUUGGAACCUUUCAAAUGAAACCAUCGCCAUAUAAUUGUAACUUCUGCCCCAGUUUCGACUUUGGGGAAAUGUGGAGUUUUGUUUUGGGUGUGACUGAACCCCCCAGAGAGAGGCUGCCUACGUAUCCUUCCGGAAUCAAAUCGAACAUAGUUCAAGAAAUAUUGUUUUUUGUUUUGUUUUGUUUUGUUUUGUUUUCUCUUUCUUCAUUUUUUAACAAUAUUUUCGGGUUCCAAAGAGGUUAAUCAAAGAAAAGUAACCGGCUCAAAGGGGUUGCAAAGGGUUGAAAGUGUUUGGGUAGCGAGAAUGAAAGCCUUCAUCAUCCCAAUCGAAGAAUAUUAACACCACAAAAGGGGUUAAACAUAAUACCUUUUGACUGCAUCCGUAUUGACAGCUGUUUCGGGGUCAUUUCCUUUAAUGUCUCCCAAGUACAAUGCCCAUUUUGGCAAUAGUUUUCUUAUAAUGUAUGGACCUUUCCAAUUUGGAGCAAACUUUCCUUUUUCUUCCUCAUGAUGAGGGAGAAUACGUCUCAGAACGAGUUGCCACACUUUAAAGUUUCUAGGCCGCACUUUCUUGUUGUAGGCACGGGCCAUUCUUUGUUGAUACAACUGCCCGUGGCAGACUGCGGCCAUCCGCUUUUCAUCAAUCAUUGUUAAUUGUUCUAAGCGGGUCUUGACCCAUUCAUUGUCCUCAAUCUCAGAUUCAAUAAUGAUUCGAAGGGAUGGAAUCUCAACUUCUGUAGGUAUUACGACUUCAGUGCCAUAAACCAAUAAAUAGGGUGUUGCCCCAACUGAUGUGCACACGAUUGUGCGGUAUCCCAAUAAUGCAAAAGGUAGAUUUUCAUGCCACUGUUUAGAACUUUCAAUCAUUUUCCUGAAGAUCUUCUUGAUAUUCUUGUUUGCCGCUUCAAUAGAAUCAUUAGAUUUGGGCCUAUAAGGGGUAGAAUUCUGAUGCGUAAUCUUAAAUUGUUCGCAUACCUCCCUCAUCAAAUGGUUGUUCAGGUUUGUAGCAUUGUCUGUAAUGAUAGUCUUAGGAAUACCAAAAUGACAAAUAAUGUUGGAAUGUAUGAAGUCCACCACCGCUUUCUUGGUGACGACUUUGAAAGUGACUGUUUCAACCCAUUUUGUGAAAUAGUCAAUGGCAAUUAAGAUGAAUAUGUGCCCAUUUGAAGCUUUCAGCUCGAUGGGCCCAAUGACAACCAUACCCCAAGCAACAAACGGCCAAGGUGCUGACAUAUGAUGUAAUUUUGAAGGCGGUGCAUGAAUCAGGUCACCGUGUAUCUGACACUGAUAGCACUUGCGGACAAAACUGAAGCAGUCCUUUUCCAUGGUCAUCCAAUAAUAACCUGCUCGAAGGAUUUUCUUUGCAAGGACAUAUCCGUUCAUGUGGUGUCCACAUACUCCCGAAUGCACUUCGUUCAUGAUUUUUCCAGCCUCUUAGGCAUCUACGCACCUUAAAAGAUUCAAAUUUGGAGUUUUUUUGUACAAGACCUCUCCGCUCAAGAAGAAACUGUCGGCGAGCCUUCUAAUGGUUCUCUUUUGGUCUCCAUUGGCUUGGUCGGGAUAUUCCUUUGUUUUCAAGAAUCUUUUGAUAUCAUGAUACCAUGACUAAAUAUGUCGUUCUAUUUCAACUGCAUUGUAAUAACCAUGUCUUUCUCAAAUUUGGAUUUCCAGCGGGUCAAUGUGGAUAUUGCCCGGAUAUGGUAGCAUUGAGGCCAAAGUAGCUAGUGCAUCAGCUAACUCAUUGUGGAAUCGAGGAAUAUACCUGAACUCGACGGACUUGAACCGUUUGCUAAGAUCAUCUACAUGUUGCCUGUAUGGGAUAAGCUUGAUAUCUCGGGUUUCCCAUUCACCUUGAGCUUGUCAAAUAAUCAAGUCAGAAUCUCCCAUGAUUAACAAUUCUUCCACAUCUAGAUCAACUGCCAUGUUCAUGCCCAUAAUGCAAGCUUCAUACUCGACAGUGUUGUUUGUACAAAAGAAUUGAAGCCGAGCUGGGGCCAGAUAGUGUUGACCGGUGGGCGAAAUCAAAAUUACCCUAAUCCCAACACCUUUUGCAUUUACACCUCUGUCAAACAACAUUUUCCAAGCAUGAGUGUUUUCUGAAAUUAACUCAACUGAAUUUACUUCCUCGUCCGGAAAGUAAGUACUCAAGGGCUGAUAUUCAUCAUCAACAGGAUUCUCAGCUAGAUGAUCCGCCAAAGCUUGAGCUUUCAUCAUCGUGCGGGUGACAUACACAAUGUCAAACUCAGUGAGCAGGAUUUUCCAUUUUGCUAGCCUUCCUGUGGGCAUGGUUUUUGGAAUAUGUACUUUAGGAGGUCCAAUCUGGUUAUGAGAUAGGUGGUAUAGGCCAACAAGUAAUGCCUAAGUUUCUGGGCGACCCAAGUUAGGGCGCAGCAAGUUCUUUCCAAUAAAGUGUACUUGGCUUCAUAACUAGUGAAUUUCUUGCUCAAAUAAUAUAUGGCUUGUUCUUUCUUCCCGGUCGCAUCAUGUUGCCCGAGAACACAACCAAAAGAAUUCUCCAAAACUGUCAAGUACAAGAACAAAGGUAUCCCGGGCUCGAGUGGGACCAACAUUGGCAGAUUCGACAAAUAUUCUUUGAUUUUAUCGAAAGCCUCUUGACACUCACCCGUCUAUCUGAUUGCCGCAUCUUUCUUCAAUAGCUUAAAUAUGGUCUUGCACGUGGUAGUUAGCUGAGCAAUGAACCUACUGAUGUAAUUUAAUCUUCCCAGCAGACUCAUGACCUCUUUCUUGGUUCUCGAAGGUGGAGAAUCCCGAAUAGACUUUAUCUUUGUUGGAUCUAGCUCGAUGCCUCUCCGACUGACUAUAAACCCCAAAUGUUUCCCAGAUGGAACGCCGAAUGCACAUUUAGCUAGAUUCAACUUCAAGUCAUACUUACACAGACGCUCAAAGAACUUUCUUAGAUCCCGCACAUGGUCGUCCUGCAUUCUGGAUUUAAUGAUCACAUCAUCCACAUAUACCUCAAUUUCUUGGUGCAUCAUGUCAUUAAAGAUGGCGGUCAUAGCUCUCAUAUAAUUGCCCCGACAUUCUUUAAACCAAACGGCAUGACCCUAUAACAGUAAGUGCCCCAGGGUGUGGUGAAAGCCGUCUUUUUGCAUCUUCUUCAUCCAUCAGAACCUGGUGAUACACAACAUAACCAUCCACGAAAGACUGUAUCUCAUGUUUGGCAUAAUUGUCAAUAAGAAUGUGGAUGUUUGGUAAUGGAAAGUUGUCCUUGGGGCUUGCUUUGUUCAAAUCCCGAUAAUCAACACACACUCGGGUUUUCCCAUCUUUCUUUGGAACUAGGAUCACAUUAGCCAACCAUGUGGUGUAUCGGACCACUCGGAUCACACCAUCUUUCAACUGUUUGGUGACUUCUUCUUUGAUCUUGUCACUGAUGUCUGUUUUAAACUUUCUCUGCUUUUGUUGGACAGGUGGAUAACCAAGAUAAGUUGGCAAUUUGUGCACUACCAAAUCAACACUCAGUCCUAGCAUAUUAUCAUAGGACCAGUUAAACACGUCUUUGAAUUCGAACAAAAGUUGGAUCAAUGGAUCUCUGGUUCUUUCAUCAUCGUGAAUACUUAUCAUGGUCUCCUGGACCUCUUCCGGACUACCCAAAUUAACUGGCUUGGUUUCAUUUAAGUUUGGCUUAGGCUUAUUCUCCAAUUGUUCCAGCUCUCGAUUUAUUUUCCUAAAAGCCUUAUCUUCAUCAUAUUCUGGUUCUUGAUUCAUUAUUUUACAGUUACACAGCGUGUUAGGAUCUGGGCAUGAAGUCCGCAAGCAUGUCAUAUUAUUUAAGUCCGCAUCAUUAGAACUGAAAAAGAGAGAGAUAAGAAAAAUAACAAAAAUCAGAAAGAAUAAUGGAAAGAGAUUCAUAGAUGAUGAACUAUUGAUUUCAUUUCAUUGAAUUUGAAGAUAGGAGGGUUUACAUCAGAAUUUAAAAGACAAUAAACUAAAAACAUUCGAGUUACACCCUGAAAUAACUCGGAAUGCAGAAAAGAUGGCAAGACUGAACUCCCGUAAUUCCCGCCUGACCGGGAAUGGAGUAGCCUUCCAAUUUUGAAGUUUAGCAUCUGGCCCCAUAUAUUGCACCUCAGCAGUGCUUGAUCCCUCACCCGGUUGGACCAUGUGAACCUCGUACAACAUUUGCUUCAUUGCUUCAUAGAUGUCCUCAAUUUCAUCGGCCGUGAAGGUCUCUUCUUAUUUUUCUAUAUACCUUGGCCUAACAAAUGUCCUGGAAAGGUGCGAGACUUGCUGAGGUAGGGCCCUCCCAUAUUUCUUACGUUUACUAUCCCAAUUUACGUCGACCUCUAUAGCUUGAAAGCAUACGCCAAAGAACUUCUCGCCGAUAGUCAAAGUGAUAGGCUCUAUAGUGCCUUGUAAGGAUACCCCGAGCCCUUUCCCAGGCUUGUACCCAUGUUUGAUCAUUUUAAUGGAAACCAUGAUUGAUGUGUUUGAUAAGAAGGGUUGAGGACAUGGGGUUCCUUCCUCGCACUGGUCUGCGACCACGAUCUCAAAAUCUUGGUUGACGAUGUGUUCACUACCCUCUCUAGCCUCCAAGCAUGGGACUGACGGGUCACUGUAGGUUGAUUGUUCAUCUUCUUCGUGGUCCACUAUUUCUUGGUUUUCAUGUUCGAACUUGACCAUUUGGUAGAGAGUAGAGGGCACAGCCCCCGCGGCAUGAAUCCAAGGUCUUCCUAAGAGAAAGUUAUAGAAAGUGUCCAUGUCCAAAACUUCAAAAUAUUACUUCAAAAUCUAUGGGGCCAAUAGUUAGGACCAAGUCAAUCUCCCCUAUCAUAUCCCGCUUGACACCGUCGAAGGCACGUAUGCAAACAUUAUUGGGUCUAAUCCUUUCAGUCCCAAUUUCCAUCCUUUGUAAUGUUGAUAGAGGGCAAAUGUCAACUCCAGAUCCAGCGUCCAACAUAGCCCUUUUCAGAUAAUAUCCUUCACACUUGACAGUCAAAUGAAGGGCUUUGUUAUGGGCGGCUCCUUCCAGAGGCAAGUCAUUUCGGCUGGAGAUUUGGUUGAUUUCAAAAAAUCGCUUUGUCGUUCUUUCCAACUGUUCAACCGUGGUCUCAACCGGAACAUACGCCUCAUUCAGCAUAUUUAACAACACUUUCUGAUAUCCAUUUGAGCUUAUCAGUAGGGACAAAAGUGAGACCUGAAAGGGGGUCUUUCUAAGUUGAUCAAUUACAACAUACUUUGAGGUUUUCAUCUUUCAAAAAAAUUCCUCCGCUUCUUCAGUAUUGAUCGGCUUCUUAAGUGAAACCGCUUCUACUUUGUUUUGUUCAAUUCUUCCAGGUUGAGAUACUUCCCAGAUUGGUUCAUUUCAUUUACUUCUCUCAUGAUUUCUUUUCCUUUAUAUGUGACCAGUGCCUUAUUGUAGUUCCAAGGGACGGUAGUGGGGUCUUUCAUGGGACUCUGUGCUGCGCGGCUGAUAACCACGGGCUCAGUCAACCUUGGUAAAAUUAUCGGCCCCUGCGCCACAUAAGUCCCCUUUGGCACGUAUAUCUUUGGAUUAUUCAGCGUGACUUUCUAUUACUCAAGUCUUUUGGGAGAGCUCAACAUGAAUUGUUCCUUUCUGGGGGCCCUAGGAACAUCGAGAAUAGCAUCUUUAGGAGGUGCUACCCUUGUCUUUGUUUCCUCAACAUUUUCUGCAUUUUGGGGAGUGGAAUUGAUCUUCUUCUCAUCUCUAUCUUGUUUUGCUACCCCUUUGGCUUUCUUUUCUGAGUUGGCGAUAACAAUGAUAACUUUCAAAGCUGGGUUGAAUUCUUUGUCCUCACAGAUCAUCCCAAUGACCAACCCAUUGUUGUGAGCCGACGAUGGGUUGUUAGGUACAUUGGGUACUUCCUCAUCCCUCAACACUACCCGCUUCUGUUCCUUUCUGCCCCUUAGUGAUUAGCGCACCUGGUACCUGGCCUAUAGGAUGGAGAUUCUGGAUUCUGCCUGUUUGGAGGUACAGGCUGUAACAGGCCCAUUUUGGACUAAUUUUGGGAAGAGGCUGGAAUAUGACUCACCAAUAGGUGUGAAGUUAGCUUUUCUGGGUGGUUCACGGGGACGGGUGUUAUAUUGGUAAUUAUCCUGUGGUGGAUGUGGAUUAUACGAGGCUUGGUGAGGAGGGUUGUUUCUUGGAGGCGAAGCUCGGUUCUGAUUGUAAUGGUUGGGCAUUCAUUACUGCAUAAGGAUGAGGGGCCAUAACAUAUGCUGCAUCCUGGUUGGGGUAGUAAUGUUGCGAGGUCCUAGAAGGGGAACCAAAGUAACCUCAGGGUUGACGAGAAUUCCUCAAGCUUGAAGCCAUCAUGGCUCCCUCUUCUUUCUUUUUCCGAUUGGCUAAACCUCCCGAACCGCUCUGGAUGGCUUGGGAAGUGGCUCUUAUAGUUGAUUGACUCAUGAUGCGACCUGUUUUCAAGCCAUUUUCUACCAUUUCUCCAAUCUUUAUGGCCUUAGCGAAUGGUUUGCCCAUAGCAGACAUCAUAUUUUGGAAAUAAUCGGCCUCUUGAGCCUGUAAGAAGAUACUGACCAUCUCUGCCUCAUCCAUUGGGGUUUUACCCUGGCCGCUUGUUCACGCCAUUUGAUAGCGUAUUCUCGGAAGCUUUCCGAAGAUUUCUUUCCGAGGUUGGACAAAGAAUUUCUGUCCGGAGCUAUGUCCAUAUUGUAUUGGAACUAUCUUACAAAAUCCCAGGCUAGGUCAUCCCAUAUGUGCCAAUGGGAGAUGUCUUGGUCCAUAUACCACUCUGAUGCAAUUCUUGUUAAGCUCUCCCCGAAAUAGGCCAUCAAAAGUUCUUCCUUUCCGCCCGCCCCUCUCAGCUGAUUGCAAUAUCUCUUCAAAUGGGCGAUCGGGUCUCCAGGCCCGUCAUAUCUUUCAAAUUUGGCGUUUUAAAGCCAACGGGUAGAUGAAUGUGAGGAAACAUGCACAGAUCCGCGUACGAGACACUCUUUUGGCCACUCAGGUCUUGCAUGUUCUUAAGACUUUGUUCGAUGCUUUUCAUCUUUUGAGUUAUCUCUUCUUGCUCGGGGUUCUUCACAGUUUUUUCUUGUUCCAUGGGAGACUCAUAUCGAGGGUGCUGAGGGUAGGAGUUUGGGGUGACAUGAUCCGUGUCUAGUUGAAAUUAUGGUUACUUGGAAAGUGAAGGCUGACGGUUCGAAACAUGGCCUAGGCAUUGUUGGUUGUGCCGUAGUAGAGACUGGUGGUGCGGUGAAUAUUGUAGAAGAUACUCCCUAAAAUGGCUCCUGGGGGACGAACCUUAAAGGCGUACCAGUGAAAUUAGCUGACAUAGUGGGGUACCCGAACGUGAUGAACUGGUUGGUUACAGGAAUAGGGGCGUUGGAGGUUCUACUUGUCCUGGGAAUUAGUUCGGGAAAUUCAGGGAUCGCACUGGGUGGUUCUCUUCCAUUAGACCAAGUGUCCCAUAUCUCCAUCAUACAGCAAUACAGUAUUCUGUUUUCUUCAGCAAUUGCUAACUCUAAGGCCAGGAUAACCGAUACUGGGCUAUCCUAUGAGGGGUUAAUUAUUGGUAGAUGACUCUCUGAUGUCAUUGCGACACUCCAUUUAGAUCUCGUAAAAUAAGGGUGUGAAGCUAGGUUUCCACAAAACCAACCACCUAAAAACAAAACAUGUUCUUAAACAACAUACACAACAUAUUGGUUAGUUCGAGACAUUUAACACGUAGGGAGUCGCACAUUGGGGAAUGUUAUGCACCUAAACAGUUAAACAUUUUUCUAAAUGUUUUUGCAAAGGUUGAGUGUCUUAUCCCGGCCUUUCUUUUUGUCCACUUCCAAAUCCUGAAUCUUUUCUUUCUUUGCGCUCUAUUAUUUUUUUUCCUUUUUUUUUGGUUUAUUCUCACUUGGGUUGUCUAUAGCUAUGAUCGGAUCCGAUGGGGAUUGCCUACGUAUCACAACGCCGCAUGAAUCAGAUCAUUACGUAGUUUAGGGGAUAAAUGCGAAAUAAAAGAAAGAAAAUUUUUGGGUUUUCAAUAUUUCAUUAAAUAAAAACUUUUUUGGUUUUUUCUAUUGCAAAGACUCCAACAUACAGACUUAAGAAAAACAAAAACAGACUUGGAGAAUACUAAUAUACUCGAAAACGUGAAAUACAGACUCAAAAAGAAAAUCAGGAAUACAUAAGAGCCUCCAAGACUACUCCAGGGGCCCGCAGGACAUCAGUCGGUCUCGAUGCGGGCCUGCGUGCAAUAUCUUCUUAGAGACGGUCUAGGUCGUUCUUCACUUGGCGGACAAAAGUCAUCACAAUAGAGAAGAAUAUGGACCUGGUCAUAUCCUCGCAUUCAUGGCACUUCAUUACGACAUAAUCAACAAUUUCUUUAAUCUUUUCUCUAAUGAUGCCCUUCUCUUGGAGUAGGCGUCCAAUUUGCUGAGACCUGGCCUCCAAAACCUGUGUGGCCAUAUGGUUUUGCUCUUGAAACUAUUGCAUGUCUUCUUCCAGUCGAGACAUCAAUGCAUAGCAAUGCUCUCUUUCUGCUUUGAAGUUCUUUGUUUGCUGGGCUAUUUCAUUUUCAAGAGUAGCCAGCUUCUUCUUUAAACCUAUGACUCAUCUGUCAUACUUUUCCCUUAGCUACUGAGCAAACCUCGUCUGUUCUUCUACAUUUUUUGCCAACUUUGCCCGGGCUUUUGCUAAUUCAUCCUUGACUUUUUCCAAGUUAGCCCCAUAAUCACACACUUUUCGUCUAAGACUGUUUAUGAGUUUUUCAUCUGUUUUGCUUCUUCCUGGGUUUUCAACGACUAUUUUCAUCCUUUGAAUUUAGGCUCGAAGGGCUUCGUUUUCUUGGGCAACCUUUUCUUUUCACCUUCAUCCGUAGCGGCCUGUACACCACUAUCAAAUUUAAUGUUUCUGAUUUGCCCCUCUAGUUUGCUUAUGGUAGCCCUAUAGUCAUUCUGUUUGGUUAACCAAGCCCAUUGUUCUUGCGAUGCGUCAACAAAUUCUUGGAUGUGGGGCAUUUUGGUUGGCCUUUCAGAUUCAUCAUUUGUAGCGACUCUCUUUCCAUACCAAGCAAGAUAACCAGGUGAAACCUCGCCCCUGGAUAAAUCACGUACUUGGGUGUUCGCCCCCAAAUAUUGGCAUUCGCUCCAAAUUCGGCGAACCACUUCUUCAGUAAAUUGAGCUUCGGAGCGGAUUUCAACUACAUGAAUACUAAGAUCUUUGUCUUUGGGAACUAUCUGGCAUCUUCCAUGUUGUCUCAAAACCCGGUAUGGGGCAUAGGGUUGGAUGCUUCGGAGACCCAUUAGCAGGAAGUAGAGACCGGUGGCAGGCAUGUACACAAUCUCACCAACGGGAAGCCAACCUAGUAUCCUCUCUAUCUGAUCCGCAGUUAUGGAAUGAAGGUGGGAUAUCCAAUCUUUGACCCUUCUGGUAUUUCAAAUCCGGUCAUUCGUGUACCAAACUCCUCGAUGCAGCUUUUUCCCGUAGACCCGUAGUUUAUGUAUCGGGGAUGGUGACAGAGGUGUUCAAUCAUCCACAUUUGCAAUAACAGAUUGCACCCUCAAAAAACUCUUCUCCGACUUUACAAGAUGUGAGAGCUCAGAAAAUAUCUGAUACGAUCAUGGGUGCGAGGGCACUCUUGUCAUUGGUAGUCAAAACCUGAACAACACUAGCUACACACAAAUCAAUGUUCCUGUCCUUCCUUGGAAACACUAAGAGGCCUAAAAAUGCCACCAUGAAGGCAAAUCAUCUAUGUAUUUCCCACUUUGAUCGGUUUCUGUUACUUCAGAGUCCAUUCUCUGGGUCCUCCAAUCCUCUUAAAUGCCCAUACCGCUGGUAUAAAAAGUGUAAAGUGGAAAAUCCACCUGCCAAAUUUUCACUCUGGAUCUGCCUGCUUAUUUUCAGUAAAUCUAAAAACUUGUGAGGAGUAACGGCCCUUGGAGCUAUCAAGUAUUUGUGUCUUAAACCCUCUGUACUCCCAGCACCCACCAUUUCCUCCAAGGUAGGUGUAAGUUCAAAAUCUGAGAAAUGCAGAACAUUGUGUGCAAAAUCCCGGAAUGUUACCAAUGCAUCUAUUACAUCACUCCUAGGCUUAAUCUUCAAUAAUCCAGUGAGUGCCCCCAGGUAUUGGUUGACCUUGUCUCGCCCCUGUUUUCCUAAAUCCUCCUACCACAUGUGGAGUGCCAAUGGAAUCUGAGUCAUAACCUUCACCGGUAAAUUCUGAACCGUGCUCAUUCUGCAAAUUUAGGUUAUGGUGAUUGGGAUAAAACAUGUGAGUUUUGUUUUAAAACUGAUCAAAAGGUUAUUUGUGCAAAAUUCAAAUUAAAACAAAUCAUGACUACUCUUGCAAACACGGCCCUUCAGCACUUCAAAAGGGAAGAUUUUAGGGUUGUGCUUGCUAGAUGGCCAAAAAUUGACAAAGAGACCGUUGGUGGCUAUUCUUGCAAAAACGGCCUUUCGGCGUCCUAUCGGGACAUUUCUGGAUAUUUAUGCAAAAAUGGCAUCACCUAUCUUUAUUUAUGACAAAAAUGGCAAAAUUUUGGUUAUUUUUUGCAAAAAGAAAGGGCUAGACCCGACGAGGGUUGCCUAUGUAUCCCACAUCCGGUGAGAAUAAAACCUGCAUAGUUCAGUCAAUUUGUCGUAACAGGAAAGCAUGACUUGUUUUUAAAUGACUUUUCUCCUUUUUUUUUCUUUCUCCUUUUUUUUUCAAAAUUUUGGCGGAGUUUCGGGAUAUUUUGAACACCGUGUUUUUUCAAAAAACGGGUAAUUUUCUCUCUUACCUCAAUUUGGUUUUUCUUGACAUUUUCUCCCUAUUCUAGAAGCCAGUCAACAUGCAAACCGUAGCAAAUAAAUAUACAAGUAGCACGUAAGAAUGCAUCAGGAUGGUCUUUUUAAUUUGGGUACACCUGUCCUAGACGAACCCAACCCCUAUGUUGAGUCCCUAAAGUCAAAUGCACGUGAUGCAAAUAAGCGUUCCUACUAAGGAUACGGUAUGGGGCUAUGUUAUUCUAGGUUUAAAACCUGGGUGUAUUGUUCUAGACCUGGAUUACUCGAGCGGACAACUUGAGCCCCCGGGGGGGGGGGGGGGCAACGUACCGGUAACCAAAAGGCAAUCCAGCUUUGUAAGUGAUCUGAACCUCGUUCUAAAUUAGGGUAUGACUCUAACAGAAAAGAAGUCACGCCAUCGUGCACUUCCUAGAAGAUUUAGAAGACUCAGAGAGAAGAAGGGUUUCGUAACAGUUUAUAUACAGUUCAAACAAUAUCAAAGCGGUAAAAAGCGGCAUUUAGCACAUUAGGCUCAAACAUGUAAUAAAAUUAGAUAAUAAUUAAAAGCCAAGUAUAACAGUUAUUCUAAGCUCAAACUCUGAACCCUGAACCAGAGAUUCUGGGUCUUUUCCCCAGCAGAGUCGCUAGAGCUGUCACACCUUCUUUUUUCCGGGGGGGGGGGGGGAUAGGGAAGUUUUUUCAAUUUAAGUGACAUUAAUCGAAAUGAGAUUAUUUUAUUUAAUUCAGAGUCGCCACUUGGAAUAAUUUAUGGUGUCCCAAGUUACCGGUUUAUUUUAAAUCCCAAAUCGAGGAAAAUUGACUCUAUUUUUGGUCCGCAAAUAUAGAAGACCGGGUAAGGAAUUCUGUUAACCCGAGAGAAGGUGUUAGGCAUUCCCGGGUUUCGUGGUUUUAGCACGGUCACCCAACUAUUAAUAAUUGGCCUAAUUAUCUAAUUUAUUACAUGUUUUAAACCUAUUGUGCAUUUUCAAUUUUACACCGCUUUUAAUUAUUUAUGGAGUUAUUUCUAGAACAAGUUACGAUUGUCGUACACUUGUUUAUUUUUGUACAUGUUGCGAAUCAUGUCACGAGCACUGUACCCAUAAUCUACAAUAUGUGUAUUUUAUUAUUGUUCGAAGUUGUGGUCGGAUCACAUGAAAUGUGCACCAGAAUUUGAGAAUUAUUUAUCACGACUAUGCCACGGUAACCGUACCCAUAGCCAUGAUGAUUUACUUAAACGCGCCUAAAGCAAACUACGAAUGUUUAUGAGAUCUUAAGUUACGGUAUUUAUUUAGGUUACGUUAUGUAUAAUGAAUUAUCAUUGAAACACUUUGUGAAGUAAUUUGAUUCUAUUAUUAUGAAGAAUGCGUCACAGAAGGAGUCUAAGUUCAUCUCAACAAUAUCACCUUUAAUAGAUAUGUCUAGCAUUAAUUCUGUUUUGGGACAAAUGAAUUGACAUGGAUACAAAACAUGGAUCAAUGGUUUGGAAAUGAAUCUUUGGCAUUAAAUGCGUCCGAGCUGCAGUAGACUAUACCAAGCCUUAAUUGAUACAAUCAGAAGAAGAAACAGAGAUGGGCCUCUAUCAGAGCCCAAGCAACAUUCAAAUAGGUUCCAUUUUUUGGGACAACGUACUUCACCUAGGGAUUCAAAAGCAAUGAUCAUACAGAAUCACAUAGGCUUUGAAAUAAAUAGUUAAAACAAGAAAUGACUAACCAAAAGAAAAAUGUAUAAUAUGGAUAGAAACUCAUACGACAGACUUCAAUUAUAUUAUAAUUAAUAAUAAGAAAUGACAUUGCAUAGUCCUACUGAUUGCACUUGAUGCACUAGAUAAAUUACAUUUAUGUGAAGUGUUAUGGCCUGAUUCUGACCCCGUCUGGGCUAAUUGAUUUAACCAGCAGGGAUCCUGAUACUCCCUUCAUUACUACCCGGUUGGCUUGAAAUCUAAUCAGUGAUAGAUUUGAUCAAUUGGUGAUCAAAUUUAAUUACUGCCUAGCUUUGACCUUCACAUGCCAAUAUCAAAUCAAAAUUACACACUAAUUUCAUGAGCUAACACUCAAAUAAAGCAAUAGCAUUAUUUCCAUUAUAUGCUUAACGUUUUCUUUUUUCUUAAAACAAAUCUAGGUUUUGACUGAAGGAAUAGUUUUGAAACACUCUUCAUUAUUAAAUCAAGCAAAAAUAAUUUAAACCUAACAAAACAACCUUCAGUAGUGAUAAACCAACUUUAGCCACAUGAAACCAAACUUGCACAUCUUAUGGACACAGAAAAAGGAAGACUCAGAUUUUAGAAGUUCAUAACUAAACUGACAACAUGAAAUAUUCAAUACUACACAUAAACUGAAUUUUAGUUGAAGACAAAACAGAUUCACAACACCUUUUUAUCAUUAAAUAUAUGAAAUCCACAUGUGUCUCAUAGGUUGGAUAAUAGAACCUUUAUGUAGUUAAUACAUCAAACUUAAGCAUUCAGCUUACAUACAAAGAAGAAAAAGCCAAGCAAACAAGAACAAUCCAACCAAAAUAUAACAGGUAACUCCAAAUGGAACAAGCCUGAUAUUUUCAUAUAACUCAAAAACAGCAGCAGGUUUACAUACCUAAGAAACAGCAAGGAGCAAAAGAACACAAGGGCAAAAAGAUAAAUCUCUGAAUUUGGGGACAACUAAACCCAGAAUCUCACAACAGCUUGAUUCAAAGAAUAAGCAAACUCAACAACCAAAACAGUAAAUUCCAGCAGAAAUCUGAUGUUAAAAUCAGUAGAGAAGAUCCAGAUUGAAUUCUGAAAUUUUCUGUCUAAGUAUUUGUGUGUGCCUAUUUUGAGAGUGAAUAUGUUGAAAAGAAUCCCUCCCCUUAUGAGUGAGGGUUAUUUCUUUAUAUAGAGUGUAAGAAAAAUGCAUAAGGGUAGGAAUAAUAGAGAAUAUUUUCUCCUAAAAAUCAGAAAUGCCAACUGUAAAUAAGAAUAGUACAACAUUUGUUUUCAACAGAC
This 16351-nucleotide long non-coding RNA is filed under the name Nicotiana tabacum (common tobacco). RNAcentral describes it as "long non-coding RNA (NTAB_LNC003468)". Lineage: Eukaryota; Viridiplantae; Streptophyta; Magnoliopsida; Solanales; Solanaceae. The record is from RNAcentral.